This is a long non-coding RNA of Cydia pomonella (codling moth), 2217 nucleotides long. RefSeq lists it as uncharacterized. The transcript has 4 exons. The record is from RefSeq and is a predicted model, not a curated record. Lineage: Eukaryota; Metazoa; Arthropoda; Insecta; Lepidoptera; Tortricidae.
GGUUUAGAUAUAGAUAAGUUCUCAAUUAGAUAUCGUUUGUAUGUGGUAUAAUUGACAGAAGCUGCACGAUUCGGAUGACCAAUGUCACUUUGACGUUAGAAUAUCUUUGAAAGAUCUUAGUCAGUGUUGCCAGAUGGGUUUUGCGUUCCGUUACGUGCACCUCUUAAAAAUAGUACGCAAAUUCAAGUUGAGUACGCAGUAUAAAAUUUACGGUGCGUUCCUAAAUAAUAUUAAUCGGAAAACCACCGAAUUUUAUCGCUACUAUAAAAAUGUUGAAAAUAGAACUUCACAUAUUUCGAUAAAAUAUUUCUUGUUUAAGGAGACUCAAUUCAAUGCAAAUUUGCCAACGGUGGCGUUUCGAAAUGUAAUACCGUCGCGGCGUCUGUCAUACUUCGGUCUACUUAAACACGCUGCACGCUGCUGCGACGCGUCAGGGCCUACCGCGAACCACGUUCGACGUGUUGCCUCUCUGUCGCACUUAUAAAUUCGUACGUAAGUAUGACAGGGAGGCAACACGUCGAACGUGGUUCGCGGUAGGCCCUCUGUUCUGUGAUUGUUAGGCAAACACAAACAUUUUUUUUUACAACGGACGCCCACGAGUAUUCCUCUGCGUUGAAGUCAUUGUUGAAGUUUGAAAACUCAUAAAGUUUUGUUUUGUGAGUGAAACCGUGAAUAAUACUAAAUAAAAAUGUGUGACAGUGAUCACAGUGAUGAAAAUAUGUUGCCCACUACUCCUCAGGAAAUAUUAAAGCCUUUUCCGUUUAUGUUGUUCCGUUGUUUGCUAUUUUGACAACUUGAAAAGUUUUAUCGGCAGUUUGCGUGUUAUUACUGUGAAGUGUUUGGCCAAACCGCCGCUACCACUUUUGAAAGGAUGCCACCCAAAAAUCCAAAAAUGUAAGUUACACAAAACAAAAAGAAUUUAUUUGCAGAAAAAUAUAGCUAUUUGCCAGUUCCUUUGAUCGUUAACUUAUGUGACUGUUUUUUUUCAGUCGCUCGAACGCAGCACAAAUUAGAUUGCUCGUUGAAUACAUGUCACAGCACACCCGGUUCGCCAACCGGGAAUUUGACGGGCCUCUAAGGACCCCAGAGGUACGAGGCGCAAUGGGAGGCCCUUGCACAGGCCUUAAGGGAGCACGGGCCCAAUAAGUCAGUGCAGGCAUGGAAAGUGGUGGGCACCUGCUCCCCGCUGGCGACACCCUUGCAGAAGCUAGCAUUUUCAGAUAUAUUUACUUUUUAAGUUUUUGGUUUGGUUUAACCGGAAUUAUUUUUACCCGACUAUGAGAAUGGGAAGGGUUAUGAUUUUAGCAGUCUACGUAUGGAUGCCGUAUAUAUGCCGGAUAUCCUGAACGAACUGAAAAUUUUUAAUGAGGCGCAGAAACAAAAAUGGAGUGUUUUGAAGGAGGGGCACGACUUGUUGGCGAAUCGUAUUAACACAUUGGAGGACACCGAGAUUAUUGAGAACUUGGAAGACACAGUUAUAAUGGAAGAGGAAGACGUCUGAGCUAAGCGCUGUCCUCGCACCCUCCGUCUAGUUUACGUUUGCGGCCAUAUCAAAAAUACACACCGUAUGUUUAUUAGGGUUCCGUACCAAAAAGGUACAAAAGGAACCCUUAUGGUGCUAUUGCUAAAUAUCUCGAGAAGUACUUAAGCUAUCGAUGUGAAAUUUGGAAUAGUAAUGAAUAACGCUGACCCAAACAUAUUGGAUGUGUAUUUAUUUUAUUUUAUUUGUAAGUAUUAAUAAUGGAAAAUUCCCAAUAUGAAGAGGGGGUAAAAUUGCAAAGUCUAGUUAAAUAGGUCAAGUGGGGUAUCAUUUGAAAGAGCUCAAAUUGAAAAUUACAAAACAAUUUUUUAUUUUCAUUGUGAAAAAAAAAUUUACGUAUGAAGGAAAAUGUGAUAAUAAUACCAUCCCCCCCCCCCCUCUCAUCUCCGAAGUUUAAGAAUAAAAAUUGUUUUUUUUACAUUGGUCAAGUCUUUCAUGAGAAAAUUUGAAGUUUGUACGGAACCCUCGGUGUGCGAGGUAAACGAACUCGCACUUGACCGGUUAUUCUUAUUGCCCAUAAGGCCCGUCCUUAGAUAUAUGUCAAUGAUUACGGUGAUCUCGAAAAUGGCUCAAAUGAUUUCAAUUAAAUUUGCUAUAUGGGGGUUUUCGGGGCGUUUUUGAGUUUUUACCUAUUUGUUUUCCGAGCAAAAGGAAUUAAAGUUUACUGAUUUUGAAAA